This 465-nucleotide ribosomal RNA is filed under the name uncultured bacterium. Its description in RNAcentral is "partial 16S ribosomal RNA". It matches the Rfam family "Bacterial small subunit ribosomal RNA", at positions 338 to 795 of the family's 1533-position model. The record is from RNAcentral.
CCUACGGGUGGCAGCAGUAGGGAAUUUUCGUCAAUGGGCGCAAGCCUGAACGAGCAAUGCCGCGUGAACGAGGACGGUCUUCGGAUCGUAAAGUUCUGUUGAAGGGGAAAAAGAGCGGAGCGAGGAAAUGAUCUCUUAUUGAUCUUACCCUUCGAAGCAGUCACGGCUAACUACGUGCCAGCAGCCGCGGUAAUACGUAGGUGGCGAGCGUUAUCCGGAAUGAUUGGGCGUAAAGGGUGCGUAGGCGGCCUGCUAAGUCUUGAGUGAAAGGUACCGGCUCAACCGGGACAGGCUCUGGAAACUGGCGGGCUAGAGAGCAGGAGAGGGCGGUGGAACUCCAUGUGUAGCGGUAAAAUGCGUAGAUAUAUGGAAGAACACCAGUGGCGAAGGCGGCCGCCUGGCGUGGUGACUGACGCUGAGGCACGAAAGCGUGGGGAGCAAAUAGGAUUAGAUACCCCUGUAGUC